AUUGAACGCUGGCGGCAGGCCUAACACAUGCAAGUCGAACGAGUGGCGGACGGGUGAGUAAUGUCUGGGAAACUGCCUGAUGGAGGGGGAUAACUACUGGAAACGGUAGCUAAUACCGCAUACCAUCAGAUGUGCCCAGAUGGGAUUAGCCAGUUGGGGGGGAAACGGCUCACCAAGGCGACGAGCCCUAGCUGGUCUGAGAGGAGGACCAGCCACACUGGAACUGGGAGACGGUCCAGACUCCUACGGGAGGCAGCAGUGGUGAAUAUUGCACAAUGGGCGCAAGCUUGAUGCAGCCAUGCCGCGUGUAUGAAGAAGGCCUUCGUGUUGUAAAGUACUUUCAGCGGGGAGGCGUUACCCGCAGAAGAAGCACCGGCUAACUCCGUGCCAGCAGCCGCGGUAAUUC
RNAcentral lists this ribosomal RNA (406 nucleotides) under uncultured bacterium. RNAcentral describes it as "partial 16S ribosomal RNA". It matches the Rfam family "Bacterial small subunit ribosomal RNA", at positions 30 to 526 of the family's 1533-position model. The record is from RNAcentral.